Molecule: ribosomal RNA, 241 nt
Filed under: Klebsiella pneumoniae subsp. pneumoniae KPNIH21
Lineage: Bacteria; Pseudomonadati; Pseudomonadota; Gammaproteobacteria; Enterobacterales; Enterobacteriaceae
Description: partial 23S ribosomal RNA
Rfam family: Bacterial large subunit ribosomal RNA
Source: RNAcentral
CCGGAGUGGACGCAUCACUGGUGUUCGGGUUGUCAUGCCAAUGGCACUGCCCGGUAGCUAAAUGCGGAAGAGAUAAGUGCUGAAAGCAUCUAAGCACGAAACUUGCCCCGAGAUGAGUUCUCCCUGAGACUUUAAGUCUCCUGAAGGAACGUUAAAGACGAUGACGUUGAUAGGCCGGGUGUGUAAGCGCAGCGAUGCGUUGAGCUAACCGGUACUAAUGAACCGUGAGGCUUAACCUUAC